GAUGAACGCUGGCGGCGUGCCUAAUACAUGCAAGUCGAGCGAACAGACGAGAGUGCUUGCACUCUCUGACGUUAGCGGCGGACGGGUGAGUAACACGUGGGUAACCUACCUAUCAGACUGGGAUAACUUCGGGAAACCGGAGCUAAUACCGGAUAAUAUUUAGCUUCGCAUGAAGCAAUAGUGAAAGACGGUUCUGCUGUCACUUAUAGAUGGACCCGCGGUGUAUUAGCUAGUUGGUGAGGUAACGGCUCACCAAGGCAACGAUACAUAGCCGACCUGAGAGGGUGAUCGGCCACACUGGGACUGAGACACGGCCCAGACUCCUACGGGAGGCAGCAGUAGGGAAUCUUCCGCAAUGGACGAAAGUCUGACGGAGCAAUGCCGCGUGAGUGAAGAAGGUUUUCGGAUCGUAAAACUCUGUUGUAAGGGAAGAACAAGUACGUUAGUAACUGAACGUACCUUGACGGUACCUUACCAGAAAGCCACGGCUAACUACGUG
RNAcentral lists this ribosomal RNA (499 nucleotides) under uncultured bacterium. Its description in RNAcentral is "partial 16S ribosomal RNA". It matches the Rfam family "Bacterial small subunit ribosomal RNA", at positions 28 to 507 of the family's 1533-position model. The record is from RNAcentral.